CCUACGGGGGGCUUCAGUGGGGGAUAUUGCACAAUGGGGGAAACCCUGAUGCAGCGACGCCGCGUGUGGGAAGACGGUCCUCUGGAUUGUAAACCACUGUCCCCAGGGACGAAGAUGACGGUACCUGGGGAGGAAGCUCCGGCUAACUACGUGCCAGCAGCCGCGGUAAUACGUAUGGUGCAAGCGUUAUCCGGAUUUACUGGGUGUAAAGGGAGCGCAGGCGGCACGGCAAGCCUGAUGUGAAAGCCCGCGGCCCAACCGCGGGACUGCAUUGGGAACUACCGGGCUGGAGUGCCGGAGAGGUAGGCGGAAUUCCUAGUGUAGCGGUGAAAUGCGUAGAUAUUAGGAGGAACACCAGUGGCGAAGGCGGCCUGCUGGACGACAACUGACGGUGAGGCGCGAAAGCGUGGGGAGCAAACAGGAUUAGAUACCCGUGUAGUC
RNAcentral lists this ribosomal RNA (441 nucleotides) under uncultured bacterium. RNAcentral describes it as "partial 16S ribosomal RNA". It matches the Rfam family "Bacterial small subunit ribosomal RNA", at positions 338 to 795 of the family's 1533-position model. The record is from RNAcentral.